GAUGAACGCUGGCGGCGUGCCUAAUACAUGCAAGUCGAGCGAACGGACGAGAAGCUUGCUUCUCUGAUGUUAGCGGCGGACGGGUGAGUAACACGUGGAUAACCUACCUAUAAUACUGGGAUAACUUCGGGAAACCGGAGCUAAUACCGGAUAAUAUUUUGAACCGCAUGGUUCAAAAGUGAAAGACGGUUUUGCUGUCACUUAUAGCUGGAUCCGCGCUGCAUUAGCUAGUUGGUAAGGUAACGGCUUACCAAGGCAACGAUGCAUAGCCGACCUGAGAGGGUGAUCGGCCACACUGGAACUGAGACACGGUCCAGACUCCUACGGGAGGCAGCAGUAGGGAAUCUUCCGCAAUGGGCGAAAGCCUGACGGAGCAACGCCGCGUGAGUGAUGAAGGUCUUCGGAUCGUAAAACUCUGUUAUUAGGGAAGAACAUAUGUGUAAGUAACUGUGCACAUCUUGACGGUACCUAAUCAGAAAGCCACGGCUAACUACGUG
Molecule: ribosomal RNA, 497 nt
Filed under: uncultured bacterium
Lineage: Bacteria
Description: partial 16S ribosomal RNA
Rfam family: Bacterial small subunit ribosomal RNA
Source: RNAcentral